This 438-nucleotide ribosomal RNA is filed under the name uncultured bacterium. Its description in RNAcentral is "partial 16S ribosomal RNA". It matches the Rfam family "Bacterial small subunit ribosomal RNA", at positions 339 to 795 of the family's 1533-position model. The record is from RNAcentral.
CUACGGGCGGCUGCAGUGAGGAAUAUUGCACAAUGGGGGGAACCCUGAUGCAGCAACGCUGCGUGGAGGAUGACGCAUUUCGGUGUGUAAACUCCUUUUAUAUGUCAAGAAAAUGACGGUAGCAUAUGAAUAAGCACCGGCUAACUCCGUGCCAGCAGCCGCGGUAAUACGGAGGGUGCAAGCGUUACUCGGAACCACUGGGCGUAAAGGACGCGUAGGCGGGUUGGAAAGUCAGGUGUGAAAUCCUACAGCUUAACUGUAGAACUGCACUUGAAACUUCUAAUCUAGAGUAUGGGAGGGGAGAUGGAAUUAGUGGUGUAGGGGUAAAAUCCGUAGAUAUCACUAGGAAUACCUAAAGCGAAGGCGAUCUCCUGGAACAUUACUGACGCUAAGGCGUGAAAGCGCGGGGAGCAAACAGGAUUAGAUACCCCAGUAGUC